CAGCAGACACAUGUGUAGGGACCAACCUAGAUUGCUCCAAUCUAGCUGCCUCCUAAAUCAGCUAUGCCGCAGUGUCGUGAGUUUAGCUAAAUUUAU
Maniola jurtina (meadow brown) is the source of this 96-nucleotide long non-coding RNA. RefSeq lists it as uncharacterized. The transcript is spliced from 3 exons. NCBI's taxonomy places the organism in Eukaryota, Metazoa, Arthropoda, Insecta, Lepidoptera, Nymphalidae. The record is from RefSeq and is a predicted model, not a curated record.